This 263-nucleotide ribosomal RNA is filed under the name uncultured bacterium. RNAcentral's name for it is "partial 16S ribosomal RNA". It matches the Rfam family "Bacterial small subunit ribosomal RNA", at positions 524 to 786 of the family's 1533-position model. The record is from RNAcentral.
GACGUAAGGGGCAAGCGUUGUCCGGAAUUACUGGGCGUAAAGAGCGCGUAGGUGGCUUAGCAAGCGGCGGGUGAAAGCCCGCGGCUCAACUGCGGAAUUGCUUGCCGAACUGCUAAGCUAGAGCGCGGGAGAGGGCAGUGGAAUUCCUGGUGUAGCGGUGGAAUGCGUCAAUAUCAGGAAGAACACCCGUGGCGAAGGCUGCUGCCUGGAACGUUGCUGACGCUGAGGCGCGAAAGCUAGGGGAGCGAACGGGAUUAGAUACC